ACGAACGCUGGCGGCGUGCUUAACACAUGCAAGUCGAACGAGGUCCAUCCUUCGGGAGAAGACCUAGUGGCGAACGGGUGCGUAACACGUGAGGAACUUGUCCCGGUCUCUGGGAUAACAGUUGGAAACGACUGCUAAUACCGGAUGACGUCGGAGCGUCGCAUGGCGCGCUGACGAAAGGGUUACCGGAUCGGGAGAGCCUCGCGGCCUAUCAGCUUGUUGGUGGGGUAACGGCCUACCAAGGCAUCGACGGGUAGCUGGUCUGAGAGGAUGAUCAGCCACACUGGGACUGAGACACGGCCCAGACUCCUACGGGAGGCAGCAGUGGGGAAUCUUGCGCAAUGGGCGAAAGCCUGACGCAGCAACGCCGCGUGCGGGAAGAAGGCUCUCGGGUUGUAAACCGCUUUCAGAAGGAACGAAACUGACGGUACUUUCAGAAGAAGGUGCGGCCAACUACGU
Molecule: ribosomal RNA, 459 nt
Filed under: uncultured bacterium
Lineage: Bacteria
Description: bacterial SSU rRNA
Rfam family: Bacterial small subunit ribosomal RNA
Source: RNAcentral